UUUAAUUUUGAUAAGCUUAAACUUUUAUUAUUGUAUUCUUCCCUGUCAAAUUUGUUGUAGUGCUCCUUGAUGCAUCUCUUCUAAUAGUCGCACUAGAAAUGAUUUUCAAGUGGCCCCUCUUCCAUGGCAAGGUGGAUCAUUCCUAUUCGGAAAGGGCUUGAAAGUGCACCAUUAACUUGUUCUUCUCAUAGAAAAACAUCACCACCGUACCAUAAUCAUGAACCAUCAAUUUUAUAGCUAGGUUUAAUUAUAGCACUCAUUUUUUUCUAGACCUUAUUAUAAAUUCCACAAUCAGAUAUUUUCUAUCCUUUCCACUCAUCCCUCCAAUACCCUUCUAUAAGUAGCCCUAUUUUAUCUUUUAUGCAUCAUCAAGAAUCAAAAAUUACUUCUAGUUCCUGCAAGAGCUAAAGGGAAAUAUAUAUAUUUUCUUUUUCCCACAUGAAGCUUAUCGUGUUCUUGCUGUUACUUCUUGUAAUGGCUGACUUCAAUUUUGCCAUGAAUAGGAGAACGGUGAUGAUUGGAGAUAAUCACGCAAUUCAAAGCAAGGAAAUCAAGAACUUGGAGAUGGAGAAAAAUACUACAGAAAUGGAAGGUGAGCCUGGUUUGAAUAAUCACCAUACCAUUCCAAGGCAAUCUUUUGGAGGUUAUGUAAAUAAUCAAAGAUGGACGACCUUCAGGAAAUACUCCUUAAUUAGAUUGCCAUAGUUAGAUGAAUUUCCUUUUUAUAUGAGGUUUAAUAAGAUAACAUAAUUAAGGACUUGUAUGAUAUGGUUAAAUGUUUUGUGAUGGAGGGUAUUUAUAUAUGCUAGAGUUAUACGAGAAAGCUUCGACCCAUGAGUCAAUUGUCUAAGAAAGUGUUCAAGGGAGAGUGUUACUGCAUUCUUCGUGAAAUUAUAGUUUGCGUUAAGUUUAUAGUUCGAAAAAUAUAUUAUAUUAUGAAUAUGUGCUACCAAUUGUUCAAAUUUAUAUAAUAUAUAUAUUUUUUAAUUUCUUGACUAUUUAUUUAUUUUCAAUCCAUUCAAUAUUUAAUUACUUAUUUGUUUAUUAGGAGUCAACAAUUUAAUAAUUAACUCUUUCGGAUUACUUUUUGUUAAGAGAAAAAAAUAUCUAUUUUCGAUUUUUGUUAUUGGGCCUAAGCAUGGUCACAAGACAGUACAGAAGGUU
RNAcentral lists this long non-coding RNA (1164 nucleotides) under Ricinus communis (castor bean). RNAcentral's name for it is "long non-coding RNA (RCOM_LNC001091)". Lineage: Eukaryota; Viridiplantae; Streptophyta; Magnoliopsida; Malpighiales; Euphorbiaceae. The record is from RNAcentral.